This is a long non-coding RNA of Clupea harengus (Atlantic herring), 676 nucleotides long. NCBI's taxonomy places the organism in Eukaryota, Metazoa, Chordata, Actinopteri, Clupeiformes, Clupeidae. The record is from Ensembl.
CUGUAUGUGACCUCACCAUCUGCGUGGAAUGAACACAUUGCUCAUUAGUCUUUUACGAAGUCCAACCAUUGUGAGGAGGCUAAACUGACCAAGAAUAAAAGGAGUUUUUUUCCCUCUUUACUACGUGUACUAAAAAUGAUCUGAUGGACUGCAUGGUGGCCAUUUUAGUUUGACUCUUGAAAUGUACCAUCCCACAUUCAAUCCCACAAGACAUUUGAAAUUGUUGACCAACACCACACAUAGACACACAUUCAUGUACAAACAGACUAAGGGGAAAAUCUGACAUUCAGACAGGAUCUGUGGAAGACUGCUGGUUGUCAUCUCUGUAGCCAUGAAGAACGUUUUGGCUGUUGUUAUCAUCGCAGCUUUCGCACUGUGCGUCGAGAAUCUCCCCAUCUCAUCUGACUCCUCAGAGGAGGCAGUGGACCCUCUGGGAGCCGCCAUUAGCAGGCCUUUCUACGACCUCUGGGACCGCACUUUAGACAAGACGGCAGAAUCUCUGAGUAAAAAACUGCAGCAAUCUCUGGGAAUGAUGUUCAACAACCUGAGCUCCGCUUUUCUAUCUGUUAUUUUGGAACCAGUUCCCACUUCACCACCUCUCCUGUGAGGAUGCAAAACUGCAGAACUUGUUUGUUUUCCACAUGGACUUAAAAUAAAACCUGAUUCUGAAUGCGAC